GUACCUAGCAGCAUGAUGAUGGUUUCUGGGAUGGCACGGAUAACGAAGAGGAGGACCUGGACGAAGAAGCAACAGUCACCAACCAGUGGCCAAAUAACCAGUACUGGACUGCUCUGAGCGGUUCUAAAGAACUGCCUGCCCGGCCUUCCAGAAGUGGAAGUGCGUCAACGUGGAUGGAAAAGUUUUCACCUGCAACUUGAGCUUCAGUUGGAGGCCUUGUCAACGCCUACAAAAUGAGACCUGCUUCAACAAGCGUAGCAAGACAGAAGUAGUCCUUUCGUGGCUUCCAGGGCCGCCAUGUUUGACUCCUUGGAGCAGCGGCGACCCCAGACGGUGCGCCGAAUGUUACUACGAAGCAGAUCCAGAAGCGGGAGAGAACUAUGCCGACUCCAAGAAAAUGCUUCGGGAGGCUCGUCGGAAACUUAAGGAAAACCGUCGACGGAAGAAGUAUCGCAAGCGCAUUAAGAAGGCCCGUUUGGAGAAGGAUUUUCUGUCGCAGAAGCUGAAUUGCCUUUCGCACGACAGCCGGCACUGGCGCUCGGCUCCUCUAUCCUUCUGUAUAUAUGCCAACAACAAUACGUACUCCUACCUGAGGACCGUCGCUGCCACCCACAAUUAUCUGUACUGCGAGCUCCCUUCUACAAUCUGACCAUAAAUCGCCUUAAGACCAUGCCAGGUUACAGAGUGACAGAGUAUCGUGCAUCAAGCCCAACUGGUGACUGCCAGUCGAGGAGCUGCCGCCUUUCUAGCGUUGCAUGCUAUCCAAAUACCUCAGGUGAGAUGACGCAUAUGAAGGGGCGCCCCUGGAAGCAGCAGCCAUAGCCACAGAAACAACAGUCCACGCAGGACAUUAGCUAUCUGAUCCGUCUACCGCCAGACGAAUGUCGAGCGAAUCUGCACCCAGCUCUAAGUGGCCGUCCUCAACUCUUUCGCCAUGUAUCUGGACCUGUCCGGCCGCCAGUUGGAUGUGCCGCAGCGCAAAUUCAAGGUCUACUUCCUGAUGCCCGGGGAAGAGGAGGCACAAAAGGUGGACCGGCUGAUGGAGAUCUUCUCUAAGCGCUACUGCGUCUGCAAUACACGGUAUUCGAUCUGAAACCCAGCUUGAAGCCGGAGAGGCGUAUGCGCGUCGAGGACCUCAUCAAGAAUCUGCGGGGCAUCGACGAUUGCCACGACAGUGACAAGGACAUCUCAGCAGGGGUAUCUUCGAGCGCGUCAAGUCGGGCGAAUUCAAGAAGGGCAGCGACCACGCCACUCAUGCGUAUCGUGCAACUAAAAACAAUGGUCGGACCUGACGCACGUGUACCCUAAAUAUUAAUUAAAAACAUUUUUGUAGAGCCAAAACUACCAAAAACAUAAAAUACUAAUAACGAUAAUAAUAAUAAUACAUA
Drosophila persimilis is the source of this 1388-nucleotide long non-coding RNA. RefSeq lists it as uncharacterized. Lineage: Eukaryota; Metazoa; Arthropoda; Insecta; Diptera; Drosophilidae. The transcript is spliced from 6 exons. The record is from RefSeq and is a predicted model, not a curated record.